This 345-nucleotide unclassified non-coding RNA is filed under the name soil metagenome. RNAcentral describes it as "partial contains 5.8S ribosomal RNA, internal transcribed spacer 2, and large subunit ribosomal RNA". The stretch from base 1 to 120 matches the Rfam family "5.8S ribosomal RNA", at positions 35 to 154 of the family's 154-position model. The record is from RNAcentral.
GAUGAAGAACGCAGCGAAAUGCGAUAAGUAGUGUGAAUUGCAGAAUUCAGUGAAUCAUCGAAUCUUUGAACGCACAUUGCGCCCCCUGGUAUUCCGGGGGGCAUGCCUGUCCGAGCGUCAUUGCUGCCCUCAAGCACGGCUUGUGUGUUGGGCCUCCGUCCUCCUCCCGGGGGACGGGCCCGAAAGGCAGCGGCGGCACCGCGUCCGGUCCUCGAGCGUAUGGGGCUUCGUCACCCGCUCUUGUAGGCCCGGCCGGCGCUUGCCGACACAUCAUUCUUUUUUCCAGGUUGACCUCGGAUCAGGUAGGGAUACCCGCUGAACUUAAGCAUAUCAAUAAGCGGAGGA